Etheostoma spectabile (orangethroat darter) is the source of this 487-nucleotide long non-coding RNA. RefSeq lists it as uncharacterized. The record is from RefSeq and is a predicted model, not a curated record. The transcript has 2 exons. Lineage: Eukaryota; Metazoa; Chordata; Actinopteri; Perciformes; Percidae.
UAUACAGUUCAGUUCUUCUAAGUUGUGAACGGUCAUGGAAAUUGUGAUGUGGGUCUUUUGAAAAGUCAGAGGAAGGUUUCUCUAUGAUAAUGUGUGAGAACCCUGAGUGUAAGAAAAAAAAUCUGUUACAUAAAGGGAAUUUCUGUGCAUUUCUUUCUGACUUUUUCCCUUUUGAAUUACUAGACUCUUUCACCUCUUCAGGCUUCUAAAAACCCCUCUUCAGUCGAACUGCUGACAUUUCAUGUUUACACUGAGGCCAUAGCCUUGGACGAGGGGUCCCAAGUAGACAUUGCUUCAUUUUAAGGGCUCACAGGCCAGAAAAGUUUGGGAACCACUGCGUUAGACUGACCUGCCAUCUACUCAGAAGUCUGCUUUUACUCAACUGAUAGCAGGAACGACACACAAACCUCAGGAAAUGUAAAUAAGUGUCUACCCUAUAAAAUAUUAAAACAUGAAAACAGCAGAGUCAAUGCGUUUCUCUGCGAAU